This 462-nucleotide ribosomal RNA is filed under the name uncultured bacterium. RNAcentral describes it as "partial 16S ribosomal RNA". It matches the Rfam family "Bacterial small subunit ribosomal RNA", at positions 28 to 507 of the family's 1533-position model. The record is from RNAcentral.
GACGAACGCUGGCGGCGUGCUUAACACAUGCAAGUCGAGCGGAAAGGCUCUUCGGGGUUCUCGAGCUGCGAACGGGUGAGUAACACGUGAGUAACCUGCCCCAGACUUUGGGAUAACCCUCGGAAACGGGGGCUAAUACCGGAUACGACACGGCUGCGCUACGGGACUGUGUGGAAAGAUCUUCGGGUUGGGAUGGGCUCGCUGCCUAUCAGCUUGAUGGUCGGGUGAUGGCAUACCAAGGCGACGAGGGGUCGGCGGCCUGAGAGGGCGACCUGCCACACUGGGACUGGGACACGGCCCAGACUCGUACGGGAGGGAGCAGUGGAGAAUAUUGCACAGUGGGCGGAAGCCUGAUGCAGCGACGCCGCGUGGGGGAUGUCGGCCAUCGGGUUGUAAACCUCUGUCAGCAGGGACGAAGCGUAAGUGACGGUACCUGCAGAAGAAGCGCCGGCCAACUACGUG